ACGGAGGGUGCAAGCGUUACUCGGAAUUACUGGGCGCAAAGAGUGCGUAGGUGGUUGAUUAAGUUAUCUGUGAAAUCCCUGGGCUCAACCUGGGCAGGUCAUAUAAUACUGGUUAACUCGAGUAUGGGAGAGGGUAGUGGAAUUUCCGGUGUAGCGGUGAAAUGCGUAGAGAUCGGAAGGAACACCAGUGGCGAAGGCGGCUACCUGGCCUAAUACUGACACUGAGGCGCGAAAGCGUGGGGAGCAAACAG
This 251-nucleotide ribosomal RNA is filed under the name uncultured prokaryote. Its description in RNAcentral is "partial 16S rRNA". It matches the Rfam family "Bacterial small subunit ribosomal RNA", at positions 525 to 775 of the family's 1533-position model. The record is from RNAcentral.